UACGUAGGGGGCGAGCGUUGUCCGAAGUUACUGGGCGUAAAGCGCGUGUAGGCGGUUCGGUAAGUCUGCUGUGAAAGUCGGGGGCUCAACCCUCGAAUGCCGGUGGAUACUGUCGGACUAGAGUGCGGAAGAGGCGAGUGGAAUUCCUGGUGUAGCGGUGAAAUGCGCAGAUAUCAGGAGGAACACCAAUUGCGAAGGCAGCUCGCUGGGACGUUACUGACGCUGAGACGCGAAAGCGUGGGGAGCAAACAGG
This 253-nucleotide ribosomal RNA is filed under the name uncultured bacterium. RNAcentral describes it as "partial 16S ribosomal RNA". It matches the Rfam family "Bacterial small subunit ribosomal RNA", at positions 524 to 776 of the family's 1533-position model. The record is from RNAcentral.